This 1320-nucleotide ribosomal RNA is filed under the name uncultured bacterium. Its description in RNAcentral is "partial 16S ribosomal RNA". It matches the Rfam family "Bacterial small subunit ribosomal RNA", at positions 27 to 1394 of the family's 1533-position model. The record is from RNAcentral.
GAAUGAACGCUGGCGGCAUGCCUAACACAUGCAAGUCGAACGAGAUCUUCGGAUCUAGUGGCGCACGGGUGAGUAACGCGUGGGAACCUACCUUUUAGUACGGGACAACGUUUGGAAACGAACGCUAAUACCGUAUAAGCCCUCCGGGGGAAAGGUCAGCCGCUAAAAGAGGGGCCCGCGUCUGAUUAGCUUGUUGGUAAGGUAAUGGCUUACCAAGGCGACGAUCAGUAGCUGGUCUGAGAGGAUGAUCAGCCACACUGGGACUGAGACACGGCCCAGACUCCUACGGGAGGCAGCAGUGGGGAAUAUUGGACAAUGGAGGCAACUCUGAUCCAGCAAUGCCGCGUGUGUGAUGAAGGCCCUAGGGUUGUAAAGCACUUUCAACGGUGAAGAUGAUGACGGUAGCCGUAGAAGAAGCCCCGGCUAACUUCGUGCCAGCAGCCGCGGUAAUACGAAGGGGGCGAGCGUUAUUCGGAAUUAUUGGGCGUAAAGGGCUCGCAGGCUGCUUGAACAGUUAGACGUGAAAUCCCCGGGCUUAACCUGGGAACUGCGUUUAAUACUAGCAAGCUAGAGAAAUAGAGAGGAAAGUGGAACUCCCAGUGUAGAGGUGAAAUUCGUAGAUAUUGGGAAGAACACCAGUGGCGAAAGCGACUUUCUGGCUAUUUUCUGACGCUGAGGAGCGAAAGCGUGGGGAGCAAACAGGAUUAGAUACCCUGGUAGUCCACGCCGUAAACGAUGACAACUAGCUGUUGGGAGACUAUGUCUUUCAGUGGCGCAGCUAACGCUUUAAGUUGUCCGCCUGGGGAGUACGGCCGCAAGGCUAAAACUCAAAUGAAUUGACGGGGACCCGCACAAGCGGUGGAGCAUGUGGUUUAAUUCGAUGCAACGCGAAAAACCUUACCUACUCUUGACAUACUUGGAAGCUCUUGUAAUGGGAGUGUGCCUUUUGGAGCCAAGAUACAGGUGCUGCAUGGCUGUCGUCAGCUCGUGUCGUGAGAUGUUCCGUUAAGUCGGAUAACGAGCGCAACCCUUACCCUUAUUUGCCAGCGAUUCGGUCGGGAACUAUAAGGGGACUGCCGGUGAUAAACCGGAGGAAGGUGAGGACGACGUCAAGUCAUCAUGGCCCUUACGAGUAGGGCUACACACGUGCUACAAUGGGGAAUACAGACGGACGCUAAGCCGCGAGGUGGUGCUAAUCCUAGAAAGUUCUUCGUAGUCCGGACUGGAGUCUGCAACUCGCCUCCAUGAAGUCGGAAUCGCUAGUAAUGCCGUAUCAGCUACGACGGCGUGAAUACGUUCCCGGGUCUUGCACUCACCGCC